RNAcentral lists this ribosomal RNA (680 nucleotides) under uncultured bacterium. RNAcentral's name for it is "bacterial SSU rRNA". It matches the Rfam family "Bacterial small subunit ribosomal RNA", at positions 62 to 723 of the family's 1533-position model. The record is from RNAcentral.
UCGAGCGCGAAAAGCAGUAAUGCUGAGUAGAGCGGCGCACGGGUGAGUAACACGUAACUGACCUACCCAGAACAUCGGGAUAACCACUCGAAAGGGUGGCUAAUACUGGAUAAGCCCACGUCCUUGGGGAUGAGGGAAAAUGAUUGGGACCAGAGAUGGCCAAUCGGUUUUGGCAGGGGUUGCGGCCCAUCAGCUAGUUGGCGGGGUAACGGCCCACCAAGGCGAAGACGGGUAGCUGGUCUGAGAGGAUGAUCAGCCACACUGGAACUGAGACACGGUCCAGACUCCUACGGGAGGCAGCAGUGGGGAAUCUUGCGCAAUGGGCGAAAGCCUGACGCAGCAACGCCGCGUGGGUGAUGAAGGUCUUCGGAUCGUAAAGCCCUGUCGAAGGGGAAGAUGUGGUGGAAGUCGAACAGGCUUUCAUUGUGACGGUACCCUUAAAGGAAGCACCGGCUAACUCUGUGCCAGCAGCCGCGGUAAUACAGAGGGUGCAAGCGUUGUUCGGAAUUAUUGGGCGUAAAGGGAGUGUAGGCGGUUUGGUAAGUUGGAUGUGAAAGCCCCGGGCUCAACCUGGGAACUGCAUCCAAAACUGCCUGACUAGAGUACGGUAGAGGGUGGUGGAAUUUCCUGUGUAGCGGUGAAAUGCGUAGAUAUAGGAAGGAACACCAGUGGCGAAGGAG